This 524-nucleotide long non-coding RNA is filed under the name Gallus gallus (chicken). RNAcentral's name for it is "long non-coding RNA NONGGAT008342". Lineage: Eukaryota; Metazoa; Chordata; Aves; Galliformes; Phasianidae. The record is from RNAcentral.
CAGAGUGUAAUUUCAGGCAGUUCUGCGGAAAUGAAAUUGCCUGAAAGUGCUUGUGACAGCUCUGCUGUGUGAUACAGCUGUGGGGCACAGGGCUGGCCCCACAGCAGGUCAGCAACACUUCACCUGCAGAUUCACAGCCAAAUAACAUGACAAAAGCAAAUUUUUCAUCUUGCAGAGUCCAUCCACAGAGAACAAAAUCCUGGAGGUGUUCUGCAGAGCAGGUAGGCACCUCAGAUUUCUCUUUCCAGCAACCUCCUUUGGAGGCCAUCAGUGGCCGGAGCUGCUCUGCUGUCACAUUUAAAGGGAGAUGCAUCCAGGCUGGACAGACUGGCUGGACUCUGAUGGAAACCAUUUCAAAUAUUUGAACUGUAAGCACUGAAGUGCAAGCAUUACCAUUUUGCUGUAUAUAUGUUUGCAUGGGUUUCAGCCCCAGCAAGAGGAUGGUUUUCGACUGGAUACAAACGCCAUGCAUAUUACAAGUAAGUUAUCCACCAGAGAUUUAAGGACUCUUUCUUUGCCAUUUA